CUCCAGCUUAUGAAUGAUCAGGAGGAGAAAUUGGAAGAGUGUUUUGUUCACAAGYCCUGAGCAAGAGUUAGAAUAUGGGACUAAUGGUGGUAAAGUCAAAUACUGGUGAGAGAGACAUGCUGGAAGCUUGAAUGGUUUGCCAAAUCUAGGUUUACUGCAUGUUUGGAAUAGUCUAUGAAGUAUAUGCUGUCAGAGCUGAGCUGCUUGAGUUAAGCAGUUAUCAAUUGGGCUGGUUCAGAAAGUAGCCAAACUGUUGCUGUACAAAGAAGCUGGAAACCCAAACUGAGCAAAUUACUCGUGCUCAGGCUGGUUUCCCAGGAGCUAAUAAGAAACAUUAUUUUGCAAGAUGUUUAUGUAUUUAGUGAGAAGAGGGACAGGCACAAAAACUACUUCAGGGUUCUUGCUGGUUAAAGAUAACUUUCUGAAUAUGACCUAUUGAAAUACUUUCCUGCUGAAUCUGUAAGUAAGCAGCUCUGGUGCCUCCGCUCUUGCUCAGAGCUUCCUUGCAGAGAAUCAGAGUGAAGACGACUGAUCAGAAAUCUAUUAUCCAGAAAUCAUCUGGGAAUACUGACCCUGAAACCUGUGGUUAUUUCUACCUUCCAUCUAAUAAGACGGCUUUAUGCAGCAGAAGAGGCAUGAACUUAGRUCACAAAUGGACUAGAAAGAUCCAAAAAAUUGAAAACUGAAGAAGUAGCAGUGUAUCAGAAAUCUCCUCUGGUUGUAACACUUAAGGAGCAAGAAGCAGAACAAUUCAAAGGGACAAGAGAAGAAAGAGCGCUCUUUAUCUGUUAGUGCUUCAAGGAAGAGAAUUAAUAUAUGAGAAGAAACAUCAACUAGCUGGAAGUCAGCAAGUCAGACGGAGCUCCUGAAUGUAACCUGUGGACUCCAUCCUUGAAGAAAACCUUCGAUCUAGAGGAGACCUGCUGAGUCCCCAGUGAGGCUGUUUUACUGCCAAGCUCAGAAACGUCGUUCUGCUGCUGAUGCUGCCAGAGGCUCCGUCGUCAGAUGAUCGCUGCCGUUCGUCUCAGAGGCCGACUGGCUGGAAGGGAGGAAAACCCCUGGUGCACAGCCUGCGUCUGAGAAGAUCUUGUCUGGUAUCUGCACGGUCUUGCUCCUUGAUUGAAAAUGCUUUCUGCUGUUUGCCCUGUGUAUUUCUGCUACUGCCGUUUACACGAGUGAAGAAACGUAGGAGACCGGAGAGGAUAAACUCUCUUUCUCCCUUGGUUGCAAAGAGUGAAGCAGCACAUAAAUGCAGUUAG
Molecule: long non-coding RNA, 1259 nt
Filed under: Dromaius novaehollandiae (emu)
Lineage: Eukaryota; Metazoa; Chordata; Aves; Casuariiformes; Dromaiidae
Description: lncRNA (ENSDNVG00000005756.1)
Source: RNAcentral